GGGAAUGUGACUUAGUGGUAGAGUGCUAGCCUGGUAUGCAUGAAGCCCAGGGUUCGAUUCCCCGUACCA
Molecule: transfer RNA, 69 nt
Filed under: Dipodomys ordii (Ord's kangaroo rat)
Lineage: Eukaryota; Metazoa; Chordata; Mammalia; Rodentia; Heteromyidae
Rfam family: tRNA
About the family: Transfer RNA (tRNA) molecules are approximately 80 nucleotides in length. Their secondary structure includes four short double-helical elements and three loops (D, anti-codon, and T loops).
Source: Rfam by way of RNAcentral